AGGAUGAACGCUGGCGGUGUGCCUAAUACAUGCAAGUCGAACGAAGCCUUCGGGCUUAGUGGCGGACGGGUGAGUAACACGUUGGUACCUACCCCGAAGUGGGGAAUAACUGCCCGAAAGGGUGGCUAAUACCGCAUAAUACCGCAAGGUUAAAGCGAGUAAUCGCGCUUCGGGAGGGGCCUGCGUCCCAUUAGCUAGUUGGUGAGGUAACGGCUCACCAAGGCGACGAUCGGUAGCUGGUCUGAGAGGACGAUCAGCCACACUGGGAUUGAGAACGGCCCAGACUCCUACGGGGGGCAGCAGUGAGGAAUUUUCCGCAAUGGGCGCAAGCCUGACGGAGCAACGCCGCGUGCAGGAAGACGGUUUUCGGAUCGUAAACUGCUUUUCUCGGGGACGAGAACGGACGGUACCCGAGGAAUCAGCCCCGGCUAACUACGCGCCAGCAGCCGC
RNAcentral lists this ribosomal RNA (450 nucleotides) under uncultured bacterium. Its description in RNAcentral is "SSU rRNA". It matches the Rfam family "Bacterial small subunit ribosomal RNA", at positions 26 to 518 of the family's 1533-position model. The record is from RNAcentral.